Molecule: ribosomal RNA, 253 nt
Filed under: uncultured bacterium
Lineage: Bacteria
Description: partial 16S ribosomal RNA
Rfam family: Bacterial small subunit ribosomal RNA
Source: RNAcentral
UACGUAGGGUGCGAGCGUUAAUCGGAAUUACUGGGCGUAAAGCGUGCGCAGGCGGUUUUGUAAGUCAGAUGUGAAAUCCCCGGGCUUAACCUGGGAACUGCGUUUGAAACUACAAGGCUAGAGUGUGGCAGAGGGGGGUGGAAUUCCACGUGUAGCAGUGAAAUGCGUAGAGAUGUGGAGGAACACCGAUGGCGAAGGCAGCCCCCUGGGCUAGCACUGACGCUCAGGCACGAAAGCGUGGGGAGCAAACAGG